UGGGAAUUUUGGACAAUGGGCGAAAGCCUGAUCCAGCAAUGCCGCGUGUGUGAAGAAGGCCUUCGGGUUGUAAAGCACUUUUGUCCGGAAAGAAAUCCUUGGCUCUAAUACAGUCGGGGGAUGACGGUACCGGAAGAAUAAGCACCGGCUAACUACGUGCCAGCAGCCGCGGUAAUACGUAGGGUGCAAGCGUUAAUCGGAAUUACUGGGCGUAAAGCGUGCGCAGGCGGUCCGCUAAGACAGAUGUGAAAUCCCCGGGCUUAACCUGGGAACUGCAUUUGUGACUGGCGGGCUAGAGUAUGGCAGAGGGGGGUAGAAUUCCACGUGUAGCAGUGAAAUGCGUAGAGAUGUGGAGGAAUACCGAUGGCGAAGGCAGCCCCCCUGGGGCCAAUACUGACGCUCAUGCACGAAAGGCGUGGGGGAGCAAACAGGAUUAGAUACCCUGGUAGUCCACGCCCUAAACGAUGU
This 468-nucleotide ribosomal RNA is filed under the name uncultured bacterium. Its description in RNAcentral is "partial 16S ribosomal RNA". It matches the Rfam family "Bacterial small subunit ribosomal RNA", at positions 356 to 812 of the family's 1533-position model. The record is from RNAcentral.